RNAcentral lists this ribosomal RNA (420 nucleotides) under uncultured bacterium. RNAcentral's name for it is "bacterial SSU rRNA". It matches the Rfam family "Bacterial small subunit ribosomal RNA", at positions 355 to 774 of the family's 1533-position model. The record is from RNAcentral.
UAAGGAAUAUUGCUCAAUGGGAGAAAUCCUGAAGCAGCAACGCCGCGUGGAGGAUGAAGGGUCUAUGACUUGUAAACUCCUGUAAAGAAGGAAAAAAUUCCCAUUUGAUGGGAGAUGAUGGUACUUCUGGAGUAAGCCCCGGCUAACUACGUGCCAGCAGCCGCGGUAAUACGUAGGGGGCAAGCGUUGUCCGGAUUUACUGGGUGUAAAGGGUGCUCAGGCGGAUUUGUAAGUCAGAGGUGAAAUCUUACAGCUUAACUGUGAAACUGCCUUUGAUACUGCAAGCCUAGAGUAUGGAAGAGAGUGAUGGAAUAUCUGGUGUAGCAGUGAAAUGCGUAGAUAUCAGAUAGAACACCAAUGGCGAAGGCAGCCACUUGGUCCAUUACUGACGCUAAAGCACGAAAGCGUGGGUAGCAAACA